This 255-nucleotide ribosomal RNA is filed under the name uncultured bacterium. Its description in RNAcentral is "partial 16S ribosomal RNA". It matches the Rfam family "Bacterial small subunit ribosomal RNA", at positions 526 to 779 of the family's 1533-position model. The record is from RNAcentral.
CGUAGGUCCCGAGCGUUGUCCGGAUUUAUUGGGCGUAAAGCGAGCGCAGGCGGUUAGAUAAGUCUGAAGUUAAAGGCUGUGGCUUAACCAUAGUACGCUUUGGAAACUGUUUAACUUGAGUGCAGAAGGGGAGAGUGGAAUUCCAUGUGUAGCGGUGAAAUGCGUAGAUAUAUGGAGGAACACCGGUGGCGAAAGCGGCUCUCUGGUCUGUAACUGACGCUGAGGCUCGAAAAGCGUGGGGGAGCGAACAGGAUU